Molecule: long non-coding RNA, 7782 nt
Filed under: Homo sapiens (human)
Lineage: Eukaryota; Metazoa; Chordata; Mammalia; Primates; Hominidae
Description: non-protein coding lnc-MAGEA4-2:1
Source: RNAcentral
GACGACGUGACGGCUGCUGCGGUGGGGAGCCGGGGAGGCUCGCGCGGGCGCGGGAAGGAGGCGGGAGCCCGGUUGCUGAGGCCCCCCGUCCCCACGCCGCCACUGCGGCGCUGCCAGACAGCCAGGGGCGGGGGAGGCGGAGGGAGGAGGCGGCGAGCCCGCGGCGCGGGGCCUGGGCGGGGGAAACUCGCGCCCCAGGCUGUGGCCGGCAGGGAGCUGCUUCAGGGACAAGAUGUGGGGCUGGAUGUGCUCACGCCCCAGAGGCGACCCCCUCCUGCCCGCUGGCACGCCGCGGGGUCAAACUGUGCUCUCCAGCCGUGGCUUCCUCCCCGCCACCUGUUGCACCCCAUUGCUUCCCCAAGUGUCCUGGCUUCAACCUCCCUCUCUGGUUUUCCCAGCUCUCAGCCCACAAUCUUCAGUCCUUCGGAAUACAAGUCUUGUCGUAUGAAGGAAGCCGGGUAACUCAGCACCUUCCUUGGCACCGAGAAGAAGAGAGACAGGGGUCUCCCCAGCAAGCUCUGAUGUGAGGUAUUCCACAGGGCAAAUUCCCAGGUAUUUGGGGGCAGGGAGGACCCGCCAACAGAGGACCAGGCGGAGACAUUCACUGGAGAAUUUUCUCUGAACCCCAAGGGGGCACUGCCACAAUGUGGCUCCCGCUUUGGCCCCAGAAGCUGAGUGUGAGAGGGACCAACUGGAAUAGAGGAGGCUUUGGAAACCUCCUUGAGACUGGAUGGCCGAAUCUUUCUGGAGACUUGGCACCAGGUGAUAGCAGAAGAAGACACGAGAAGGCACAGAGGGGGAAGGGGAAGGGGCAGUGCCCCACUUCAGGGGAGACACGUCAAGAGUCUCAAGCAUACUUGGACUUCAUCUUCUUUCCCUAGACCCUUCUGAUUUGCUUCAGAAGGAGAAGGAAUGGCAAAGAUUUGUGUACCAAGCUGAUGCCAGACGCUGGCAGCAUCCUCACCUGUUGCUCCAGAAGGGGCUGUGUGCAUCCUUGAAGAGGCUUAGCUCUACCACACUCACCUACAACACCCUCUUCACCACCCCACCUCCCAAGCACAUCACUCUGCUUUGUCCUCUUCACAACACUGCUCACUCAUUGAUGAUUAUCUUGGGCAUUUUUUAUGAGCUUGUUUACAGUGGGUCUCUCCUACUGAAGUAAGCUCAGGGACAAACACACACAUGCAUACACACAAAAUGUGUCUGUUGGGGUCUCCACUGUAUCCCUAAGACUUAGCAGAGCUCUGGGUACACAAUAGGCACUCAACCAAAUGUGUCACUGAUUUGUGUGCAGCUGUGUGUGUCCUACUACCACUGAGUUAGUCCACUAGGACCUGGGGCUGCCUUCAGACUACGGUGCAAGACAGAAGAGACUGCAGGACAUGUUUAGGCUUGCACAGCCCCUCACCCCCGCCCCCCGACACACACCGGGAAGAGCCCCAUACUUUCUUUCAUGCUUUGCUGCUGAAAUUUUUAAUAAUUUUUGAACAAGUGGACCUGCAUUUUUCUUUUUUCCUGGGCCCUGCAAAUUAUAUAGCCAGUUUUGCCCUGGGCAGAAAUGCCGCAGAGCAGGGAACAGGCAAACACGCGGCUUUGCUGAGGCCAUGAGGAAGAGAAGGCUGCCAGUCCAUCCGCCUGCCGUCCUGUCCAACACCAGACUGCUAUGGAAAGGAGCAUGUCUGCCCUUACUGUAGCCAGCCUGGGAUUUGAAGUGUCCUGUAUGCAUGUCUCUUCCUCCACUGACAUUGGACCUCCGGGAAAUGAAGGAUGACAUACGGCACAGCAGAAAUUGAUCAUCAGCUGGAAAUGAUAUAUAACAGUGGUAAGGGGUUGUCACACUACUCUUCCUAACUGCAAGUGGACUUUACUGUUCCCAUGUGUCCAGACAGGAGAGGAAGACAAGAUGUGGGUAAGUAAUAUAGCUUCCCCCAUAAACUGUUACAUAGUAAGUGCUCAAUAAAAAGCAACUAUUAUAAUUUGGUGUUACACAAUCCAUCUCAUUUCUAGGAGGAAUUUCUAAGAAGGCCAAAUUUGCCUUGAAGUUCUCCAGUUUGUUCAAGGGUCUAGUAUGUCACAGAUGCUUUCUAAUAUAGGAUCACAACUGUCCAAGAAUCUUGAAGUUCUCAGCAGGAAGGCUUAUCUUUGCAACACCCUUUAUUUUUUUAACUUUUAUUUUAGGUUUGAGGGUACAUGUGAAGGUUUAUUACAUAGGUAAACACGUGACACAGAUUUGUUAUACAGAUUUUGUCAUCAAGGUAUUAAGCCCAGCACCGAAUAGUUAUCUUUUCUGCUUCAUUCCCUCCUCUCACCCUCCCCUCUCAAGUAGACCUCAGAGUCUGUUGUUUCCUUCUUUGUUUUCGUAAGUUCUUAUCAUUUAGCUCCCACUAAGUAGGCUGAGAAUUUUUUCCUCCAUUUGAUUCUUGAUAGAAAUCAUAACCUGUGAGUUUCUGCUACUCUGCACAUGACUGAACACCUGUCAGGCGCCUCUAGGCACACUGAAAGCCAGUAUUUUUCCAUGGAGCAAUUAAACAGACAAGAGGCAGUAGAAGGCUGCUUAAUUAUUCCUUUUUCAUCAAAGCUGACAUGUAUUCCAAGGAAUUAGGUUUCACCUCCUGGGGGACUCCAGAGAUUUAGGAAUUUAGCCUCAGUAAGUAGAUGUUUGUUCCACUGGGAUUUCCAAAGUGUUUCCUCACCUAAUACUCAUGAGGGAAGCUUUGGUUUUUGACCAUUCAUCUGUGCAUGUGUUCAGAGGUGAAUUCCAAAUCAAACACCCUGUAAAAGUCUGAUUGCAAGUAUCAAGGUGGUUCCAAACUUCGUGUAACUUCAGGGGGAUAUCCUGAGAACUAACAGAUAAUAUGGCAAAUCAGACCCUACUCAAUCCCUUAGGAAAACACUUGGAGACUGUGUCGAAGAUAACCAGAGUGGUACCCAGGUGUCCAAAAGUCACUGUCCCAUGUGAAUGUUUAUAUCAAAAUGGUUGUUGCUAUCACAUGGCUUCCUGGGUGAGAGAUGGGACAGCCAGAGGACUUCUACAGGGAGAAGAAACGCUCCCUGUCAGGAGGAGAACAGGUGAUUCUAGGCUGUUCUGUGGGGACCAAUGACAAGCUGGUCAGCAGGCCAGGUUCCAGAGUCAGACAAAAAAUAUGGAAGGGACCAGGGGAAAUGUGCUUUAAUUCCGGAAAGUGCUGGGAAUGGACAGAAAUGGCCACAUCUGGGCAGAGUCAGGUCUUGAGGAACCCAGCAUACACCAGUCCUAAAUGGUGUUUGAUUCUCAUUGCCACCUCCAGGUCUGCUUUUAGUAUGUUGUGCUCAAGGUCCUUCUUUUUGUCACCUGAGCGACAUGGUGCAGUGCUGAGAAACGAAAUGAAGUAGCAGUCAGGAGGUCAACCUCGGGCUGGGGGGAGUGGGAGCUGCAUGGGCUCUAAAGGAAUUCACACCAGGGGUCUGGUUCCAGCCCUGUUCCUUACUAGCCACGUGAUCCUGGGAAAUACCCAAGAAAUACCCUGUUAUUAUGUCCCAAUUCACAAGCCCUGUGAGCCUUGAUUCUUUAUCUGUAAGCAGAUGUGAUAAGCCCUGUCUAGUAGGACAGUUGGAGUGUGUGCAACGUAGGUGAAGCACCUGGCUCAGGGCCUAUUGUAAAUUAGGAGUUUAAAGAGUGGCAGAUGCCUGUUAUUUCUAACAUUAUUUGACCCCAGGCCCUAGGACUCUGGGAUUUUGCUGUUGUCAUUCUUCUCCGAGACUUAUCAGAGAACAUAGAGCUCAAUAGGACAUGGAAUAAUUAGACAAAAAAUGAAGUUUCAUCCAUAAAAUUCAGUAAGUGGUUACCUCUUAGAAAAUGUACUUCAAAAUUUGAGUAUGCGGGAGUUUUUCCCAGCCAGAUGCAGCUCAAAGCUCCUUGAAUUUGAGUCAGAGACUAACUGUUUCCCUCGCUCCCAGAUGCUUUUCCAUGCAAAUCACUAUUUUCAUUCAUGUUUUCACCACUUUGCUUACAACUGGUCAAAUUGCACUUGAGAUAAUCUAAUUAAAAUUCAUUUUUAAUAGAGUCAUCUCUAGUUCUCCCAGUCAGGCAGAAAAGUACCUGGCCAGUGGCUUCUGGGUCUCCUUUCCAGGGAGAUUUAUGCUUCUCUCUCAGGAAAUGCUUUCAGAUGAUGAGUGUCCAUCACCUAGCUCUUGCACUGUGUUCAACAGCACUGGGACUAAAGCACAAGAUACUUUCCAUUCCUGCCCCACUCCUCUCUGUUCAUCCACCAUCAAAAAAGAACUGUUCAGUUUUCCAUUAUGAGCUUUUCUCACACUCUCUGAGAAUCUGGCCCUGGACCCCCCCCCCCCCCCCCGCCGAUUCAUUAGAAUCAGCUCCCUCCGAAGAAACUGCAGUUUCCCAAAGUCCAAAAGGCCCCACACAGGGCAUUUACCUCUGGACCACUCUCACCUGGAGCCCCACACCCUCACCCCUUUCUUACUUUUUCUCUACAUCUUAGAGGGCACCUCUCCACCUUAAUUAUAUGACUGCUGCUCCUAGACUUUACUACCCUGUGGGUAGGGGUGAGUCUGGCUUACCUUAGCAUCUCCACUAUUAACCCAGGGCCUUCCACAGAGCAAAUGCUCAGUGCAUAGAGAAUAAAUGAGCCAGUGAACAGGGAGAAUGAUUUAUUCAGAUUUAAUUUGUCUUACAUUCUCAAAGAAGCCAAGGAAAUCCAGGUAUGCACAUUUUUUAAAAAAAAUUUUACCGAGUAGACUGAGUAUAAGGCAAGAAUUAAAUAUCUUUUAAUUUCUUUAUGUCAUCAGUUUUACUGCUCAUUCACAUUUCUAAAUGAAUACUUAUUCCACUGCUGUAACUAUGUCCCAAUUCACAAAAUGGAAUGGAUUUCCCAAUCUGAAUAAAAAACAAGACUCUUACUCCUAAACUAUAUAAACAGCACUAUGUGUGACUACUGUCAUUCAUAAAUUUGAAUGCUGAAGUUCAUUCAACCACCCAUUAAAAGGAACAUUUGAACAAUUCCAAAAGGAAACAAAGACAAAUCUCAAAGUCAUCCAAUAGAACAGAAACCCACUACUAAGAAUGUUGACUGCUCUCUUCAAAGAGAGAAGAAUGGGCCUCAUGUCACAUUAAGGCAGGGGAAACUAGUGGACGGAGCCCUGGAAGGUGCACUGGCCCAGCCCCCCUCGCAGUGGCCCUGGCUGCAGCUCAUGCUCAGACUCCCUCUUCCUCCUCUCUCAAAGCUGCUUCAUGCAGGGAUGGGUAGGAAAUGAGAACUCUUGCAUUGACCCUGACCACGUGCUCCAGUACUUUCAAGCAGCGAGUGCCCUUGGACCCCACAGUAACUCAUAGCAUAUGGGAUCACUGCUGGGCACCUGCCGGUACUCCAGGUAGUUUUCCUGCACCAAAUCUUGGGUGAGCAGCUUCCUGGGCUCCCCACAGACACUGUGCUCCCUCCCAACAUACACCUUCAUCACACUCAGCUCCUCCCAGAUUUUCUCCUCAGGGACGCAUUUGCCCUCCAUUGCAAUCAUGCCCAAGACGAUUAUCAGGAGGCCCGUCUUGGGCAUGAUCUGAUUAUUAUCAACCACCAGGCCAUCAUAGGAGUCCCAGGCAGGUGACAAGGGUGUAGGUGUUGCUGGUGGGGUCCGCUUCCUUCACGUCAAUGCCAAAGACCAGCUGCAAGGACUCGGAGGCUUUGCCGAAGAUCACAGGAAAGCAGCGCUUGUAAUUUUUGAUGACUCUCUCCAGCAUUUCUGCCUUUGUGACCGGCUCCUUGACUUAAUACUUGAGGAGCAGAAAAUGAAUCAAGUCAGCCACCUUCUUACUGAGUGCUGCUCGGAACACAGACUCUGGGUCAGGGGAGGUGCUUGGCCCCUCCUCUUCUUGGUUGCUGGAGCCCUUAAUGGAUUGCCUCCAUAGAGUGAAAUCGAUGGCAGUGGGGAUGGCGGAGGCUCCCUGAGGACUCUUGAGAGGACCUGGUGACCCAGCAGCAGGCACCUCCCCCAGGGUGCCUGGGACCAGAGGAGAGGAGGAGGACACAGCCUCCUGCUCCUCAGUAGUGGCAGCCUGCACACCCACCAGGCCCAGGGCCUCUUCUUGGGUGUCAAGGCCUUCCUCAGGCUUGCAGUGCUGACUCUUCUGCUCAAGAGACAUGACGACUCUGGUCACCGCAACAGGCAGGAGUGUGGGCAGGAGCUGGGCAAUGGAGACCCACUGGCCUGGAGAGAGAGGGAGCAUGUGAGAAGCCUCAGCUAAAAACUGAACCUUGGAGGCUCUAACAAAGGCUUACUUACAGAUCUUCUCCUUUGGUGCUCCUCUAGGGCCUCCUGGGGAUCCUCUGGAGCUUCCUGGUGAUCCUGGUCAGCCUGUCCCCUGAGAACCUGAAGGAAAAAGUGAGAGGGCACCUCAGGGUACACAAGCAAGCAGAGGCUGAUUCUGCAGGACUGACAGUAGAGAGGGGCCUAAGACGCUCCCUCUACUGACCUGAGUGCAGACCCCUCGACAAAGACCUCCCCAUCCCUGACACCAAUGAUCCCAGGAUGGGGGCCCCUGUGUUGACCUGAGUCAUCCUCGGAGAACAAGUUCCUCACCUCCCCGAGAUCUGAAAACAGGAAUGAGAUGGAGCUACAUCCUGUCACCCCCACAUGGGGUGUCCAGAGCCUGGACCCACUUCCCUCCACCAAUCUCAAGCCGCCACUCAGAGCGAGAACUUCGCUUCUCUUUGACCCCCAACGCCAAGUCAGUGGUGUCACAUCCGGGCACCCGGGGAUUCCCUCGGUUGAAAGCAGGGGCGAAACCGGAUUCUACCAGAAUAGCCUGGGCCCACUUCCCUCCUCCAAUCCCAAGCCGCCUGUCAGACCAAGAAGCUCGCUUCUCUCUGACCCCCAAUGCGCAAAUCAGUGGCGUCACAUCCAGGCCAGGGGCUUCCCGGGGUUGACAGCAGGGGAAGACCCAGAUUCUGCCAGGAUGGAGCUAUAGAGGGAACCUGGGCCUGCUUCCUUCCACCGAUCUCAAGCUGCUCCUAAGACCAAGAACCUGGCUUCUCUCUGAUACCCAAUGCGCAAGUCAGUGGCAUCACAUCCGGGCCACCUGGCGCUUCUGGUUGAUUUGGGAAGCAGAGAAUAGCCGCCCAAAUUUGAUUGUAAUUUUGGCGGCUACAGGUAAGGCACUAAAUUGUAAAUAAUUUAAGUAUAAUUGACAUUUUUACAAUGUUCUGUUCCCCAUCAAUGAACAGGUUAUGCUCCUCUUUAUUUCAGACCCUCUUAACCUGAAUCUAUCAGUAUACUUUGAUAGUUGCCUCUAGAAAGACCUUAUACAUUUUUGUUAGGGUUCUUUUCAGGUUAAUUCUUGGAUUUUGUUACUACUGCAAAUGGCAUAUUUUCUAUUGUUUGUUCUAAUUAGGUAUUGCUUUCGCAUGUCAAAGAUUUUGACUUUGCUAUAGUAAUGUUACACACCUCUUUCUGAAAGCCCAUUCACCUGAAUAUUCCAUUUGCCUAUUCCUUUGAAUUUUCAAGACCGAUAAUGACAUUAUCACUAAACAUUAUGUAUUUUUCCAAUAUUCACAACCCUUAUUUAUUUUGAUACUUAUAGCUCUGACUUUGUGUCUCAAUGAUGAUUUAAAACAUAGAGAUAAUAGCCUACAUCUACUUCUUGCUCCUGACAUUAAUGAUAAUUCUUUGAACGUUUCACAUUUAAGUAUGUUUGCUGUUGAUUUUAGGAAAUAGAAGUUAUCUUUCAAUAUAGGUUAACUAAAUAUUUUUACCAUGAACUCAUCGAAUUUCUUUCAAAAGCUUUUUCUGUAC